CGUUCUAUGGUGUAAUGGUGAGCACUCUGGACUCUGAAUCCAGCGAUCCGAGUUCGAGUCUCGGUAGAACCU
Molecule: transfer RNA, 72 nt
Filed under: Octopus vulgaris (common octopus)
Lineage: Eukaryota; Metazoa; Mollusca; Cephalopoda; Octopoda; Octopodidae
Also listed under: 1 other name
Rfam family: tRNA
About the family: Transfer RNA (tRNA) molecules are approximately 80 nucleotides in length. Their secondary structure includes four short double-helical elements and three loops (D, anti-codon, and T loops).
Source: Rfam by way of RNAcentral